AAAAUGUAUGAAGAACACCUGAAGAGAAU
RNAcentral lists this non-coding RNA (29 nucleotides) under Cricetulus griseus (Chinese hamster). The record is from RNAcentral. Lineage: Eukaryota; Metazoa; Chordata; Mammalia; Rodentia; Cricetidae.